CCUACGGGGUGCAGCAGUGAGGAAUAUUGGUCAAUGGGCGCGAGUCUGAACCAGCCAAGUAGCGUGAAGGAUGACUGCCCUAUGGGUUGUAAACUUCUUUUAUAAAGGAAUAAAACGAGGCACGUGUGCCUUUUUGCAUGUACUUUAUGAAUAAGGAUCGGCUAACUCCGUGCCAGCAGCCGCGGUAAUACGGAGGAUCCGAGCGUUAUCCGGAUUUAUUGGGUUUAAAGGGAGCGUAGAUGGGUUGUUAAGUCAGUUGUGAAAGUUUGCGGCUCAACCGUAAAAUUGCAAUUGAUACUGGCAGUCUUGAGUACAGUUGAGGUAGGCGGAAUUCGUGGUGUAGCGGUGAAAUGCUUAGAUAUCACGAAGAACCCCGAUUGCGAAGGCAGCUUACCAAACUGUGACUGACAUUGAUGCUCGAAAGUGUGGGUAUCAAACAGGAUUAGAUACCCUGGUAGUC
RNAcentral lists this ribosomal RNA (460 nucleotides) under uncultured bacterium. RNAcentral describes it as "partial 16S ribosomal RNA". It matches the Rfam family "Bacterial small subunit ribosomal RNA", at positions 338 to 795 of the family's 1533-position model. The record is from RNAcentral.